Molecule: ribosomal RNA, 466 nt
Filed under: Hemilaelaps triangulus
Lineage: Eukaryota; Metazoa; Arthropoda; Arachnida; Mesostigmata; Ixodorhynchidae
Description: SSU rRNA
Rfam family: Eukaryotic small subunit ribosomal RNA
Source: RNAcentral
AAGUCUGGUGCCAGCAGCCGCGGUAAUUCCAGCUCCAAUAGCGUAUAUUAAAAUUGUUGCGUCUAAAAAGCUCGUAGUUUGAAAACUUGCCUUGGCUUACAAUCGGUCCGUAUGGGCCACCGUUUGCUGAGCGCAAAUAUAGAUGACUGUUUUUGCCGACUUAGUUGUUGGGCUUACAAGAGUUAUCAAAUAUCACUUUGAUUAAAUUAGAGUGCUUAAAGCAAGUGUGUUACUUGGAUAUAAAUGCAUGGAAUGAUGGAAUAUGUUGUUGUUCUAUUUGUUGGUUUUGGAACGAUGAAAUGAUUGAAAGGAACUGUUGGGGGCAUUCGUAUUGUUGUGAGAGAGGUGAAAUUCUUAGACCACAGCAAGACGAACUACUGCGAAAGCAUUUGCCAAGAAUGUUUUCAUUGAUCAAGAACGAAAGUUAGAGGUUCGAAGGCGAUCAGAUACCGCCCUAGUUCUAACC